This 73-nucleotide transfer RNA is filed under the name Deltaproteobacteria bacterium. RNAcentral describes it as "tRNA-Phe". It matches the Rfam family "tRNA". Rfam says of the family: Transfer RNA (tRNA) molecules are approximately 80 nucleotides in length. The record is from RNAcentral. Lineage: Bacteria; Pseudomonadati; Myxococcota; Myxococcia.
GGCGAGAUAGCUCAGUUGGUAGAGCAGUGGACUGAAAAUCCACGUGUCCUCAGUUCGAUUCUGAGUCUCGCCA